UACAGAGGUCUCAAGCGUUGUUCGGAUUCAUUGGGCGUAAAGGGCGUGUAGGUGGUUCUGUAUGUCUACCGUGAAAGCGUACGGCUCAACCGUAUUUAGUCGGUAGAAACUGCAGGACUUGAGGCUGGGAGGGGCUGGUGGAAUUCCCCGUGUAGCGGUGAAAUGCGUAGAGAUGGGGGAGAACACUCGUGGCGAAGGCGGCCAGCUAGACCAGUUCUGACACUGAGGCGCGACAGCGUGGGGAGCAAACAGG
RNAcentral lists this ribosomal RNA (253 nucleotides) under uncultured bacterium. RNAcentral's name for it is "partial 16S ribosomal RNA". It matches the Rfam family "Bacterial small subunit ribosomal RNA", at positions 524 to 776 of the family's 1533-position model. The record is from RNAcentral.